AUACUUACCUGGCAGGGGACCGAUUACCCUGAUCAAGAAGGUGGUCAACCAGGCGAGGCUUAACAUGUGCACACGCCGUAUCGUGACCCACUGCGAAUCCCAAAGCUUGGAAGCUGACUGCAAAUUGUUUGUAGUGGGGGACUGCUGCUUCGCGCUCUCCCCCA
Small nuclear RNA from Etheostoma spectabile (orangethroat darter), 164 nucleotides. RefSeq annotates it as U1 spliceosomal RNA. The transcript has a single exon. The record is from RefSeq and is a predicted model, not a curated record. NCBI's taxonomy places the organism in Eukaryota, Metazoa, Chordata, Actinopteri, Perciformes, Percidae.